Molecule: unclassified non-coding RNA, 346 nt
Filed under: soil metagenome
Description: partial contains 5.8S ribosomal RNA, internal transcribed spacer 2, and large subunit ribosomal RNA
Rfam family: 5.8S ribosomal RNA (bases 1-120)
Source: RNAcentral
GAUGAAGAACGUAGCGAAAUGCGAUACGUAGUGUGAAUUGCAGAAUUCAGUGAAUCAUCGAGUCUUUGAACGCACAUUGCGCCCCCUGGUAUUCCGGGGGGCAUGCCUGUCCGAGCGUCAUUGCUGCCCUCAAGCACGGCUUGUGUGUUGGGCCCCGUCCUCCGAUCCCGGGGGACGGGCCCGAAAGGCAGCGGCGGCACCGCGUCCGGUCCUCGAGCGUAUGGGGCUUUGUCACCCGCUCUGUAGGCCCGGCCGGCGCUUGCCGAUCAACCCAAAUUUUUAUCCAGGUUGACCUCGGAUCAGGUAGGGAUACCCGCUGAACUUAAGCAUAUCAAUAAGCGGAGGA